ACAAUAAAAAAAGCAAAGAAUGUGGAGAUUCCAAUUUUAGCGAAGAAUUUAAAAUAUUUUACUAUAUCCUAUACACUGUGCAAGCCGUUGCAUCAAUAUCCGCCAUGUUUCUAAAAUGGGUAGAAUUAUCUCCCCACGAAUCGUUAAUAUUGAAUAAUAUAAUGAGAAACACUUUUAAUGAAAAAUUAAUUAAUUGCUACCAACCAAUUCUGCAGGCUUUUAACAAAUGGGCAGAAAUUCAAGAUAUUGAUGGUGCUACUGGUUUCACAAAAAUUCCAUACGAAAUUAAAUUGUUAGAAAAAACAGAAAAAAUUAUUAAACGGAUAUUAAUAAUUAUGGAUGUAUCGAUAAAUCAAAUAAA
Long non-coding RNA from Agrilus planipennis (emerald ash borer), 361 nucleotides. RefSeq lists it as uncharacterized. Lineage: Eukaryota; Metazoa; Arthropoda; Insecta; Coleoptera; Buprestidae. The record is from RefSeq and is a predicted model, not a curated record. The transcript is spliced from 3 exons.